Molecule: ribosomal RNA, 472 nt
Filed under: uncultured bacterium
Lineage: Bacteria
Description: bacterial SSU rRNA
Rfam family: Bacterial small subunit ribosomal RNA
Source: RNAcentral
GCAGAGCAUCCUACGGGAGGCAGCAGUGGGAAUAUUGCACAAUGGGCGCAAGCCUGAUGCAGCCAUGCCGCGUGUAUGAAGAAGGCCUUCGGGUUGUAAAGUACUUUCAGCAGUGAGGAAGGUGGGUAUGUUAAUAGCAUAUUCAUUUGACGUUAGCUGCAGAAGAAGCACCGGCUAACUCCGUGCCAGCAGCCGCGGUAAUACGGAGGGUGCGAGCGUUAAUCGGAAUUACUGGGCGUAAAGCGCAUGCAGGUGGUUUGUUAAGUCAGAUGUGAAAGCCCGGGGCUCAACCUCGGAAUUUGCAUUUGAAACUGGCAAACUAGAGUACUGUAGAGGGGGUAGAAUUUCAGGUGUAGCGGUGAAAAUGCGUAGAGAUCUGAAGGAAUACCGGUGGCGAAGGCGGCCCCCUGGACAGAUACUGACACUCAGAUGCGAAAGCGUGGGGAGCAAACAGGAUUAGAUACCCCGGUAG